Molecule: small nucleolar RNA, 107 nt
Organism: Magnolia sinica
Lineage: Eukaryota; Viridiplantae; Streptophyta; Magnoliopsida; Magnoliales; Magnoliaceae
Source: RefSeq, a predicted model, not a curated record
AAUCCAUGUUAUGGGCAUGAACUGACAAGAUCCUUGAACCAUUCCCAAGAUUGGAAGAAGGUCUCGUCUGCCUUUUGGGCGAAGUUCAUGAUUGACUUCCUUAUAGU